AAGUCGAACGGUAACAGGAAGCAGCUUGCUGCUUUGCUGACGAGUGGCGGACGGGUGAGUAAUGUCUGGGAAACUGCCUGAUGGAGGGGGAUAACUACUGGAAACGGUGGCUAAUACCGCAUAACGUCGCAAGACCAAAGAGGGGGACCUUCGGGCCUCUUGCCAUCAGAUGUGCCCAGAUGGGAUUAGCUUGUUGGUGAGGUAACGGCUCACCAAGGCGACGAUCCCUAGCUGGUCUGAGAGGAUGACCAGCCACACUGGAACUGAGACACGGUCCAGACUCCUACGGGAGGCAGCAGUGGGGAAUAUUGCACAAUGGGCGCAAGCCUGAUGCAGCCAUGCCGCGUGUAUGAAGAAGGCCUUCGGGUUGUAAAGUACUUUCAGCGGGGAGGAAGGUGUUGUGGUUAAUAACCACAG
Molecule: ribosomal RNA, 417 nt
Filed under: Salmonella enterica subsp. enterica serovar Heidelberg
Lineage: Bacteria; Pseudomonadati; Pseudomonadota; Gammaproteobacteria; Enterobacterales; Enterobacteriaceae
Also listed under: 1 other name
Description: bacterial SSU rRNA
Rfam family: Bacterial small subunit ribosomal RNA
Source: RNAcentral